GAAGUAUAAUUAGUUUAGAAAGUUCAGUAAAAUUUAAAUUAUAUAGUUUAAUAAUUAGAGUCCCAAAAUGACUAUAUUUUUUAGUGGCUUAUAUAUAUGAGUAGUUGGUUGACUUUGUAUUUGAGAGAGCUCACGAAGUGGAGAAGUACGUCAAAUUCCAUGAGUUUUAUUUGAAUGAUUUGUGAGGGUGAGAAAAAUAGUUAGUGGUUGCAAUUAUUUUUCCGAAUUUUCUUGGUAGAGUAGGUUUACGCUGAAUCACGUAAAAUUUUGUAUUAUUUAUUUUGUGUGGAUGUGUUUUUUCACAACAUGUUCAAACCAUCUCAAACUCCCUUCUCUAAACUUUUCUUCGAUAAAAGCUAUCACAUCUUCAGGUG
Molecule: unclassified non-coding RNA, 374 nt
Filed under: Hevea brasiliensis (rubber tree)
Lineage: Eukaryota; Viridiplantae; Streptophyta; Magnoliopsida; Malpighiales; Euphorbiaceae
Source: RNAcentral